This is a non-coding RNA of Caretta caretta (loggerhead turtle), 3218 nucleotides long. The record is from RefSeq and is a predicted model, not a curated record. Lineage: Eukaryota; Metazoa; Chordata; Testudines; Cheloniidae.
AACACACACGUCGCUUUUGCAAACCCCAGUAGGUACCUUGCUGCUUUUAGGUGCCUAAACCCCUUUGGAAAUCGGGCCCUAAGUAAUUUAGGAGUACAAGUCCCACUUAAAAUUAAUUAGGCACUUAGAGGCUUUUGGACCACCCCUUGCCCCCAAGUGUUGUUAAAGUAUUCUACAGGCAGGGGGGCGCUCUCAAAAUGCCAUGAGAACAAAACCAAACCCAAACCCAAAGGAGGAUCUUGCACAAUCGCUAUUCCUGGAAAGCCCCCAAAAUGAAAUGCAAAAAUCAAGACAGCAGACCAGGCUAGUUGAGGGCACCCAUCAGCCAGGCAAAGCGGUGUGUUUUAGCAGCUUGCACUGUGCUGGGGAACAUACACGCAUUCCGAGGCUUUUUUAAAAGAAAAAGUCCCACCAAUCUCUUGGGGCUCACAUAACGGGUCUGACGCCGCCUGCAGAACGGUUUGACUUUUGCCUGAGUCAGGACAGCACAAUGUUGCUGUAGCGCCUCACCUCCAUCCCUGCCUCCCCCUCGCUGGUGUGGAUCCGUGGAAAGGAGAGGAGCGUUGCCACCCGCUGCGUCUUUUCACACCGGGCUGGCCAGGCUGCCUGCGCCUGGGAAAUUCGCAGGGAGCGAGGUGUUUCACUACAACGGGUCCGGCAAAAUGCAGCCUCCAGAUCAGCUGGGGGGUAGCUGACACCGCUCCGCCCCCAACACCCCCAGGGCUGCUGGGAAGCCAGAGGGUGAGACCGUGCAUGUUUCCGGCGGAGCAUGGGCACGCAGAUGGUUUGCACAUAGCCCCUCUUCCAAUGGCCGCAGCAGGUGCAUCAUCCUCUGCCCACUUCGCCGCCGGGAGUACGGAGGGGACAGCGCGCUGCAGGGCGGACGGCUGGGGCUGGAGCUGCCCGGGACGUUAAUCCGCAGGGCGAUGCGGAGCGCAGGGGGCCGGAGGCCGGGAGCAGUCGGCGGACAGAACUUUGCCUUCCCAGGCGUGCGGGUGUGAACCCCAGAGCCGCCUCCCACACCCGGCGGAAACACCCUUCCAAUGCAAUCGUUACAAGCACCGGUCCGGUCCCGGUCCCCUCCCACACCCACUCAGCCGCUCUCCCACGCCUCCUCCCUGGCCCUAAAGACGCAGCCCGGUGCGUGCAGCAAGCAGGCAGCUCGGGAGCAGCUGGAGCAACAGGCAUGCAAGCAGCCCACAUUGCUAUUCUCCGCAGCUCCUCAUCCCUCCACCCAUCGCAGCUCGGCACGUCUCCGAGCCGCUCCGGGGAUGUGCCGCGAGCCUUAGGGACAUGGGAGCGGAUCGUUUGAUGAUUUCGGGGGGAGGGGCUAGGAGUGUAGCCGGUCCCCUAUAAUGUCUGUGCCUUUUGAAAAGCACCGCCUAACGUAAUCAACGCUGGUGAUAAAACAGGUCUGCACCUAGUUCGUUGGCAGCAAAGCAAAGGCGCGAACAGCCAAAGGACCCAGCAAUGUAGCCGGAGACCCCACAUCACUCCGAGCGGACACUGAGCGCAGGCAAUCGCGUGCCUCUGACUUCCAGCGGGGUCCCACACGCUGCUCGCCCUCGCUUUAGCUGAGUUCCUCCGAUGGGGGGGGGGGGGUCCGCAGCAAUUACAGGCGGGAGCUGGGUGCAGGUGGAAAGCGUCUCUCUCACCAGCAGAAGUUGGUCCAGUAAAAGGUGGGUCCAAGCAAAACCUCGCCCACCUUGACUCGCUAAGAUGCUGGGACCCACAGAGCUACACCGCACCGCUCCAUGUCACUUGCAGGCGGAUGAAUGUGGCUCCCCGUUCUGCUGUGAGAUUGCAUUCCCUUUCCCAGGGGGAUGUAUUUGAUUUCCUGCCUUCAGCCCUGAACCCUGUCAGAGUCGGGAGAUAAAUGUGUCUGUGCGGGCGCAUCCUAAGUCACGCUACCACUGUGCUAAACUUUUCAAUCACACAAACCCUCCCGAAGUCUCUCCCCUCCCCACUCCGUCCCUUUCACUGUUAUUCAGAGAUGCUUCAAUGGUCCAGCCUCGCUUGUGAAACCCCCUUCCACUGCCUUGUGGAUUCCGUACUAAAAAUGCCAGCAGCUUGUAUGAAAAUAACUUGCACAAUGCAGUGAGAUCACCCGAAACCAUCCCUCCUUCCCCUCCACGAGCAGGCGAGCUCAUCAGCACAGUUGACCAUGCAGUCCCAGAAUCGAAAAAGAGCUCCAGCAUGGACCGAACGGGAGGUACUGGAUCUGAUCGCUGUAUGGGGAGAGGAAUCCGUGCCAUCAGAACUACGUUCCAAAAGACGAAAUGCCAAAACAUCUCUGAGGCCAUAAGGGACAGAGGCUAUAGCAGGGACGCAACACAGUGCCACGUGAAACUUAAGGCGCUCAGACAAGCAUACCAGAAAACCAAAGAAUCAAACAGACGCUCUGGGACAGAGCCCCAGACAUGCCGCUUCUACGCUGAGCUGCAUGCAAUUCUGGGGGGUCCACCACCACUACCCCACUCCUGUCCGUGGACUCUGAUGAUGGGGUAUUCUUCGCCACGCCUGAGGAUUUUGCGGACAGGGAAGAUGAGGAGGAGGUCAACGACGAGCUUGAGGAGAGCACACAGCACACCGUUCUCCCCGACAGCCAGGAUCUUUUUAUCACCCUGACUGAAAUACCCUCCCAACCCAAUGAAGCCGGAGAAGGGACCUCUGCAGCUGCAAAUGUUUCAAGCCUCCCUCCUCCAUCCCAAAGGCUAUCUCAGAUAAGGCAGCGAAAAAAACGCACAAGUGAUGAAAUGUUCUCUGAGCUCAUGCAGUCGUCCGGCACUGACAGAGCUCAGCAGAAUGUGUGAAGGGACACAAUAGCAGAGUACAGGAAAGCGGCCAAUUAACGUGAGGAGAGGUGGUGGCAGGAAGAUCAGAGGAGGUGGGAUGCAACGCUGGGGCUACUGCGGGAUCAAACGGACACGUUCCGGCGUCUGGUGGAGGUUCAUGAAUGGCAGCAGGAUCACAGACUGCCACUGAAGCCCCUGUUUAACCACCCUCCAUCCUCCCCAAGUUCCAUAGCCUCCUCACCCAGACGCCCAAGAACGCGGGGAGGGGGAGGCUCCGGGCACCCAACCACUCCACCCCAGUGGACAGCCCAAGCAACAGAAGGCUGUCAUUCAACAAGUUUUAAAGUGGCCUUUUCCUUCCCUCCUACCCUCCUCCCACACCCAAACCGGGCUACCUUGUGAGUUAUCUCCCUAUUUUUAUAA